Molecule: ribosomal RNA, 440 nt
Filed under: Myxococcus sp. AM011
Lineage: Bacteria; Pseudomonadati; Myxococcota; Myxococcia; Myxococcales; Myxococcaceae
Description: partial 23S ribosomal RNA
Rfam family: Bacterial large subunit ribosomal RNA
Source: RNAcentral
AGGUACGCUCAGCGCGGUCGGACAUCGCGCACUGUGUGCAAAGGCAUAAGCGUGCUUGACUGCAAGAUCGACGGAUCAAGCAGGUAGGAAACUAGGACUUAGUGAUCCGGUGGUUCUGUAUGGAAGGGCCAUCGCUCAACGGAUAAAAGGUACUCCGGGGAUAACAGGCUGAUACCGCCCAAGAGUUCAUAUCGACGGCGGUGUUUGGCACCUCGAUGUCGGCUCAUCACAUCCUGGGGCUGUAGUCGGUCCCAAGGGUAUGGCUGUUCGCCAUUUAAAGUGGUACGCGAGCUGGGUUCAGAACGUCGUGAGACAGUUCGGUCCCUAUCUGCCAUGGGCGUUGGAGAUUUGAGAGGGGCUGCUCCUAGUACGAGAGGACCGGAGUGGACGAAUCACUGGUGUUCGGGUUGUCAUGCCAAUGGCAUUGCCCGGUAGCUAAA